RNAcentral lists this ribosomal RNA (474 nucleotides) under uncultured bacterium. RNAcentral's name for it is "bacterial SSU rRNA". It matches the Rfam family "Bacterial small subunit ribosomal RNA", at positions 28 to 485 of the family's 1533-position model. The record is from RNAcentral.
AAUCAACGCUGGCGGCGUGCCUAACACAUGCAAGUCGAACGCGAGAGGGGCUUCGGCCCCGAUUGAGUGGCGAACGGGUGAGUAACGCGUGGGUGACCUACCUUCGAGUGGGGGAUAACGUCCCGAAAGGGACGCUAAUACCGCAUAACAUCCUGCUUUUGAAUGGGUGGAGAUCAAAGCCGGGGAUCGCAAGACCUGGCGCUUGAUGAGGGGCCCGCGUCUGAUUAGCUAGNGGUGAGGUAACGGCCCACCAAGGCAACGAUCAGUAUCCGGCCUGAGAGGGCGGACGGACACACUGGGACUGAGACACGGCCCAGACUCCUACGGGAGGCAGCAGUGGGGAAUUGUUCGCAAUGGGCGCAAGCCUGACGACGCAACGCCGCGUGGAGGAUGAAGGUCUUCGGAUUGUAAACUCCUGUUGCCCGGGACGAAUGGCUCCGACCUAACACGUCGGAGUGUGACGGUACCGGGUGA